UACAAAGUGUCAGGAGAUCACAACUCCAA
RNAcentral lists this non-coding RNA (29 nucleotides) under Mus musculus (house mouse). Lineage: Eukaryota; Metazoa; Chordata; Mammalia; Rodentia; Muridae. The record is from RNAcentral.